CAAGUCGAGCGAGGCCAGGGGGGCAACUCCCUGAGUCGAGCGGCGGACGGGUGAGUAACACGUGGGUAACCUACCCGGAAGUGGGGAAUACCUCGGGGAAACUCGAGCUAAUACCGCAUGACAUCUUUGGGACGAAAGUCCUGACGAUCAAAGCGGGGUCGCAAGAUCUCGCGCUACCGGAUGGGCCCGCGCCCGAUUAGCUAGUUGGUGAGGUAACGGCUCACCAAGGCAACGAUCGGUAACCGGCCUGAGAGGGCGAUCGGUCACACCGGAACUGAGACACGGUCCGGACUCCUACGGGAGGCAGCAGUGGGGAAUCUUGCGCAAUGGGCGAAAGCCUGACGCAGCAACGCCGCGUGGAGGAUGAAGGCCCUUGGGUUGUAAACUCCUGUCGGCUGGGAAGAAAUCGUUCGCGGCUAAUACCCGCGGACGUUGACUGUACCAGCAAAGGAAGCCCCGGCUAACUCUGUGCCAGCAGCCGCGGUAAUACAGAGGGGGCCAGCGUUAUUCGGAAUUAUUGGGCGUAAAGGGCGCGUAGGCGGCCACGCGUGUCUUCCGUGAAAUCCCUCGGCUCAACCGAGGACGUGCGGAAGAAACUGCGAGGCUCGAGUCCAGAAGAGGGGGGCGGAAUUCCCAGUGUAGCGGUGAAAUGCGUAGAUAUUGGGAGGAACACCGGUGGCGAAGGCGGCCCCCUGGGCUGGUACUGACGCUGAUGCGCGAAAGCGUGGGUAGCAAACGGGAUUAGAUACCCCGGUAGUCCACGCCGUAAACGAUGGGCACUUGGUGUCGCGGGUAUCGACCCC
Molecule: ribosomal RNA, 803 nt
Filed under: uncultured Bacillota bacterium
Lineage: Bacteria; Bacillati; Bacillota
Description: bacterial SSU rRNA
Rfam family: Bacterial small subunit ribosomal RNA
Source: RNAcentral